RNAcentral lists this ribosomal RNA (292 nucleotides) under uncultured bacterium. Its description in RNAcentral is "partial 16S ribosomal RNA". It matches the Rfam family "Bacterial small subunit ribosomal RNA", at positions 505 to 796 of the family's 1533-position model. The record is from RNAcentral.
GUGUCAGCCGCCGCGGUAAGACGAACCGUCCUAACGUUGUUCGGAAUCACUGGGCUUAAAGGGCGCGUAGGCGGUCGGCAUAGUCAGGGGUGAAAUCUUUCGGCUUAACCGGAAAAGGGCCUCUGAUACUAGUCGACUCGAGGGAGAUAGGGGCAAUUGGAACUUCCGGUGGAGCGGUGAAAUGCGUUGAUAUCGGAAGGAACGCCGGUGGCGAAAGCGAAUUGCUGGAUCUCUUCUGACGCUGAGGCGCGAAAGCUAGGGGAGCAAACGGGAUUAGAAACCCCUGUAGUCC